Long non-coding RNA from Oryza sativa Japonica Group (Japanese rice), 2216 nucleotides. RefSeq lists it as uncharacterized. The record is from RefSeq and is a predicted model, not a curated record. Lineage: Eukaryota; Viridiplantae; Streptophyta; Magnoliopsida; Poales; Poaceae.
CGCUCCUCUCUCGAUCCAAGAGAUCACUCCCCACGCCCACUCCUCCUUCUCCCACGCCGCCUUCUCGCCGCCUUUUUCGCCCUCCUCCCUGUAUCGCGCCAGCGCUGCGUCGCCUCCUCAUCUCGCGGCUGCGUCGCCUCCUCACCUCGCCGCAAACGCCGCCGCCGUCGACUCCGCUCCAGAUCCCCGCGUCGCCUCCUCACCUCGCCACCAACGCCGCCGCCGUCGACUCCGCACCAAAUCCCCGCGACCUCGCCCCAUCCGCCCCAGCCGGCGGCGGCCGACUGCCAGAUCCCCGCAUCGCCUCCUCACCUCGCCGCCAACGCCGCCGCCGGCGACGUUGCCGCUGCCCACCCGCCCCAGCCGGCGACGCUGCCGCUGCCCACCCACAAGUUUUGGAUUCUUAAACUCGUAGCGUUUGCUGUCUAUGUUUAGAUGGUAUAUUACUGAUUUGCAGUAUGAGCUAAGCAUCGGUCAUCUUUUCAUUUCAUUCUUGCCUCUGAAGAUAGGUACUGUGCCAUUGAAGAUACAUGUUUGUGUGCAAGCUAAAUCACACUUAUGCAUUUAUGCAUGGUUAAUUACAUUGUUUGCUCUGUUAAUCUACACAACAUGAUGGCGUUCUCUGCAAUCUUAAGGGAUUUAUAGUUUUAUGCAUGAUUAUGCUUUUCAGGUCUUUAGUAAAAAAAUGGUGGUCAGGGAUUUAGUAAGAAAUGCUGGAGCACUAAUUGAUCCUCUGCUCAAAUUGAUCAAAUAGUACUGUCCAUUUAUGCCUACUCUUUUCUGAUCACAUGGUAUUGUGUCAAAUAAAUUUGAUAUUUAGCUUUGGUGUCCUUAAAUGGCAUGGUUGUUUUAUAAGACCCUGUGAUUUUCUACAUGUCACCUUAACAAUCAGUAGGCUCUGUUGGAUUUGUGUGGACUCAUAAAGAAGAGGUGCUUGUGUUUGCUGGUUCAUCAAACAGCUCCAUCAAAGCGGUAGGGCGUGGGAGAAGCCAAAGGUUUGGCUGUGCUGCUACUACUACUAGCAUCCAUUCACAUUCAUUACUCUGUAGAUCAAUAGUACCAUUUUUAUUUGCGGAUCAGCAGUAGGGUUCUGGACUUACAUUGCCGAUCAAAUGAUUUGCGGAUGCAAAUAAUGAAUUUCCAUAUGUACACCUGUAGUGGGCCGUAUGAUAAUAAUAUAUCUGGUACAUUGCAGAAAUGGCUUUGUAGUCCAAAAUUGCUCAUAUAAUUAAGUUGUCAAAUUAUGUGCACGGACAAUGCACCUGAUUUGUCUGCGAUAACAGGUAAUGACGUGCCAAAUUGCUCUUCAGCUUCUGCAUCCGAUGUAAUCACGUUUCUGUCAAGUGACAUUUGAUACUUAGAUGCUAAUAAACUAAAUCUGUAUGACAACAGUUACGGGUUGAAUCAACUAAUUUUCUGACAGUACAUGUGCUUAAGUGCACAACCUAAAAUUUCUUUAAUUCAGAAGAACAUGUAACCACAUUAGGUAUAAAAUUUGCAAGAUAUCGAUCUUAAUGGCCUGGUGCUGCUAGGUGUAUGCAUUAAUUCUGGUGCGCUAGAUAUAGUUUGCUUGCCUCCAGGAUUAUAUGAUAAGUUAGAUGUAUUUUGUUGGCCUGCUGGAUGUAUGCAUUCAGCUCCUGACUUAUUCUUGAUUUAUUUGUGCAUGCCGGAUCCAUGGAAGAAUCAACCCACUAAAGUCUGAACUCUGAAAUAAGGCUUUUGGUAUACUGUGGCCUAUAUAUUCUGCACGUCAUAUAGCUUUCAUGUCACAGUAUAUGUACAGGUUAGCACUGGAUGGAAAUUAAUACCUCAUUUGUUUUCUAUCUUUUCAAGAACUUUGCUCAGGGUUGGUAUAAAUCACCACUUAAGUAACUUUGUGAUGGCAUCCAUCUAGCCCUAUGGCCAUUUACAUAGAGCAAUAACUAUGCAUUUAUCCGCUUUUCUUCUUAUGUAAGUGAAAUGAUCUGGUGGUAUAUGAUUCUGUUAUUCUCUAAGUCAAUAUCUUGGAUGAUCUUAUACUGCUUUUUGUCUGCAGGCUUCGGGGAAGGUUGAGUAUUCAAGCCUUGGUCAAGAGUUUUUUUUUUCUUAUAUGGUUUGACAAAAUAGAUAUUUGGUUGUAUCGCUGACAAAAAUGUUUGAUAUAGCAUAUUCUUGAUUCAUGUAGAUUGACAAAUGAUUUCACAAGCAAAUGAAAGAGUAUGUGUUUUAGACAUUUA